GUCCAGACUCCUACGGGAGGCAGCAGUGGGGAAUAUUGCACAAUGGGGGAAACCCUGAUGCAGCGACGCCGCGUGAGCGAUGAAGUAUUUCGGUAUGUAAAGCUCUAUCAGCAGGGAAGAAGAUGACGGUACCUGACUAAGAAGCCCCGGCUAACUACGUGCCAGCAGCCGCGGUAAUACGUAGGGGGCAAGCGUUAUCCGGAUUUACUGGGUGUAAAGGGAGCGUAGACGGCGAUGCAAGCCAGAUGUGAAAGCCCGGGGCUCAACCCCGGGACUGCAUUUGGAACUGUGUGGCUGGAGUGUCGGAGAGGCAGGCGGAAUUCCUAGUGUAGCGGUGAAAUGCGUAGAUAUUAGGAGGAACACCAGUGGCGAAGGCGGCCUGCUGGACGAUGACUGACGUUGAGGCUCGAAAGCGUGGGGAGCAAACAGGAUUAGAUACCCGGGUAC
RNAcentral lists this ribosomal RNA (447 nucleotides) under uncultured bacterium. RNAcentral's name for it is "partial 16S ribosomal RNA". It matches the Rfam family "Bacterial small subunit ribosomal RNA", at positions 329 to 793 of the family's 1533-position model. The record is from RNAcentral.